This 494-nucleotide ribosomal RNA is filed under the name uncultured bacterium. Its description in RNAcentral is "partial 16S ribosomal RNA". It matches the Rfam family "Bacterial small subunit ribosomal RNA", at positions 28 to 507 of the family's 1533-position model. The record is from RNAcentral.
GACGAACGCUGGCGGCGUGCUUAACACAUGCAAGUCGAACGGAAAGGCCUGCUUUCCCUUGUGGAUUGCGGGUACUCGAGUGGCGAACGGGUGAGUAACACGUGAGUGAUCUGCCCCCAACUUGGGUAUAAGCCUGGGAAACUGGAUCUAAUUCCCGAUAGGACUGCAGGGUGGUGCCUGUGGUGGAAAACGAUUUUCUAGUGGUUGGGGAUGAGCUCGCGGCCUAUCAGCUUGUUGGUGGGGUAAUGGCCUACCAAGGCGGCGACGGGUAGCCGGCCUGGGAGGGUGGACGGCCACAUUGGGACUGAGAUACGGCCCAGACUCCUACGGGAGGCAGCAGUGGGGAAUAUUGCACAAUGGGCGGAAGCCUGAUGCAGCGACGCAGCGUGGGGGAUGACGGCCUUCGGGUUGUAAACUCCUUUCGACCGCGAGGAAGCCACCUGGUUGGAAGGGUGGUGACGGUAGUGGUAGAAGAAGCACCGGCUAACUACGUG